Molecule: ribosomal RNA, 392 nt
Filed under: uncultured bacterium
Lineage: Bacteria
Description: partial 16S ribosomal RNA
Rfam family: Bacterial small subunit ribosomal RNA
Source: RNAcentral
AUACGUAGGGGGCGAGCGUUGUCCGGAUUUAUUGGGCGUAAAGGGUGCGUAGGCGGCCUUGUAAGUCAGAUGUGAAAGAUCAUGGCUUAACUGUGGUAAGCAUUUGAAACUGCAGGGCUUGAGUACAGGAGAGGAGAGUGGAAUUCCUAGUGUAGCGGUGAAAUGCGUAGAUAUUAGGAGGAAUACCAGUGGCGAAGGCGGCUCUCUGGACUGGUACUGACGCUGAGGCACGAGAGCGGGGGGAGCAAACAGUAUUAGAUGCCCUGGUAGUCCACGCUAUAAAGGAUGAGUGCGAGGUGUCGGGGGUCAAACCUCGGUGCCGCAGUUAACACAUUAAGCGCUCCGCCUGGGGAGUACGGCCGCAAGGCUGAAACUCAAAUGAAUUGACGGGG